This 726-nucleotide small RNA is filed under the name Pongo abelii (Sumatran orangutan). RNAcentral's name for it is "retained intron". Lineage: Eukaryota; Metazoa; Chordata; Mammalia; Primates; Hominidae. The record is from RNAcentral.
UUAUUUACACUCAAGAGAUGAGAAAAUGAGGUUCAAGGAGAUACACUCAUCCAUUCAACACAUACUUACUGAAUGCUUCACUGUGUGCCAGGUGCUUUUCUAGGCCCAAGACCAAAUGCCUUGGUCCAGGUUCCAAGGGAGCCAGUCCUGAAUGAUAGUACAGCACGAUAUUUAUGUUGAUGUUCAUGGGGUGCAUACUCAGAUGAGGCCAGGAAGGGAAGAUCAGCAUGGGCUGGGAUCUAGGCCGGAUCUAGGAUCCACCUGGCAAGGCCCAUUAGGCUGUAUGGUCCAGGAAGGUGGGGACCAGGGCCAGCUUCUUCACUCUUGUCCCUCUAAUGCCUAGCACAGUAUAAAGCAGGUCCUGGAUGGCGAAUGAAUGGUGUCACUCUGAACCAGGUGCUGAAAGGUGGGUGGGGUGGAGUGAAGCACAGGGUGAGGAGAGGAGCUGACCCGCUGCUGGGCACAGUUGCAUGUUCAGGGCAUCUGACUCCCUUCUCCCUCUCUCCUCCCAGUCAUUCCUCUUCCAGCUACUAAAAGGCCUGGGAUUCUGUCAUAGCCGCAAUGUGCUACACAGGGACCUGAAGCCCCAGAACCUGCUAAUAAACAGGAACGGGGAGCUGAAAUUGGCUGAUUUCGGCCUGGCUCGAGCCUUUGGGAUUCCCGUCCGCUGUUACUCAGCUGAGGUGAGCUAGGAGAUGGGAUAUGGGACUGCGGGAGGGAGUCCCU